CCUACGGGAGGCAGCAGUGAGGAAUAUUGGUCAAUGGGCGCGAGCCUGAACCAGCCAAGUCGCGUGAGGGAAGACGGUCCUAUGGAUUGUAAACCUCUUUUGUCGGGGAGCAAAAGACGCCACGCGUGGCGUUCCGAGAGUACCCGAAGAAAAAGCAUCGGCUAACUCCGUGCCAGCAGCCGCGGUAAUACGGAGGAUGCGAGCGUUAUCCGGAUUUAUUGGGUUUAAAGGGUGCGCAGGCGGAAUUUCAAGUCAGCGGUAAAAUUGCGGGGCUCAACCCCGUCGUGCCGUUGAAACUGGCGGUCUUGAGUGAGCGAGAGGUAUGCGGAAUGCGUGGUGUAGCGGUGAAAUGCAUAGAUAUCACGCAGAACUCCGAUUGCGAAGGCAGCAUACCGGCGCUCAACUGACGCUCAUGCACGAAAGCGUGGGUAUCGAACAGGAUUAGAUACCCGUGUAGUC
Molecule: ribosomal RNA, 459 nt
Filed under: uncultured bacterium
Lineage: Bacteria
Description: partial 16S ribosomal RNA
Rfam family: Bacterial small subunit ribosomal RNA
Source: RNAcentral